UCUAAAAAAAACUGGAUCGCGCAUCCUAUUGUUCUCAAACCUUAGAAAGUGCGGCCGGCGAAUUUCAAUCGGCGCCAUGCGCUUGUGACCACUUCAGCGGGAAAAUGAAUAGCUAGGAUGCUGGAGAAUAAGGUAUUCGCUGCAUUUAUUUUGCCUGUAAGAAAUGCGAAAUAGGGAACUGACGAUGAAAAGGGAAUAAAUGACAAAAAGGACCAUGAGAAUCAAGGAUUGCAAAUAAAAAGGAAGCUACGCUCCACUUUUUCACCGUAGAGCAACUUGUGUGCAUCUUUGACUUGGUGGAUUGACAAAGACAUGUGCCUUCACCACUUGUUUUGAAAUGAAAUAAACAUCUGUUUAUAAAACCAUAAAGGUUUUCCAUUUUCAAGUUUUGGAAAGGAACCAAUCACUGAGAUGUUAUGAUGUGACUAAGCAAUGGAAGUUGUUGCUAGCAGCUGAAUCUUACUAAAGCAAAACAAACUGCAAUAUUUAUAACAUUAAUUUUGGAGUGGAAACAGUAAUUUAGAUUGUUUCAGGAGGUUCUUCAAACAUAUUUUACAAAUUCAAAUGUUUGCUACAAAAAUUGUGUAUAUGUUUAGAACAUUUAGCAGUAAAAUGAAUUUAUUUUGUGAGCUUUAUGCAGUAAUCUAUGAUUAUUUCUGGAACAAAAUUACCAAUGUAAUCAAA
Rhopilema esculentum is the source of this 684-nucleotide non-coding RNA. Lineage: Eukaryota; Metazoa; Cnidaria; Scyphozoa; Rhizostomeae; Rhizostomatidae. The record is from RefSeq and is a predicted model, not a curated record.